AGGGAUGCGGCUCAGUGGCAGAGCUUUUGCCUUGUAUCCACAAGGUCCUAGGUUCAAUCUCCAGCAUCACUA
RNAcentral lists this transfer RNA (72 nucleotides) under Cavia porcellus (domestic guinea pig). It matches the Rfam family "tRNA". From Rfam's summary of the family: Transfer RNA (tRNA) molecules are approximately 80 nucleotides in length. Their secondary structure includes four short double-helical elements and three loops (D, anti-codon, and T loops). The record is from Rfam by way of RNAcentral. Lineage: Eukaryota; Metazoa; Chordata; Mammalia; Rodentia; Caviidae.